This is a long non-coding RNA of Cyprinus carpio carpio, 1992 nucleotides long. The record is from Ensembl. NCBI's taxonomy places the organism in Eukaryota, Metazoa, Chordata, Actinopteri, Cypriniformes, Cyprinidae.
AUGGAAGCAGCAAGUUCCACUUCACUCUCCGAAUUCAUCCACCACAGUGUCAACCGCAUGGAUCAGCAGCAGGAGAGCAUCGUCAACACCGGACGCGCUGUCCAAGCGCUGGUGACACAGGUGUCCGAGCUCACCCAGCAGAUCCAAGAGCUGACCAUUCCCGCUGCGCCACCCGCACCGUCGGUUCCCCGGGCUAGCACCGAACCCAGCUAUCGACCCGAACCACGCCUACCAGUUCCCGAGAACUACUCUGAGCGUUUUAUGCAGUUUCCCGUCUGGUUGCCUGGUUCUCGUCCUUGUUUCUCUGUGCUGUUUGAUUCGCUGUUGUCUUCCCCGGAACCCCGUCCACUCUUCACCACCGGAUGCACCUACUACCACCUCGGACUGCUCAUCUCAGGCCUGUGUCACGCUCUCCUGCUGCAUCUACUCACCGCCACUUCCUGGAUCAUCGUCUUCCAUCGCUGUUACCACCUGUUGUUUCCCUUGGACUCAGUUAUACAUUCCUGUUCUCAAUAAACUUUACAUUUAACUCUUGCAUUUGCUUCCUCACCCAUUUGUUACCGUUACACUCUUCAGCAGGACUCUUUAUUGAGAAUGUGCUUGCGUGGCACUGCCGUCAUCAAAACUCUAACCAAAGCAGUGAUACUUUGGAGUUUAUAUACAUUCAAGGGGGAGGGAAACAUACAGUAGAGGUGGAGACAAUCUACACAAUAAAAUACAAAUGCAAUACAGGAAUCAGCCAGACACUGGCAUUUUCCCAGCCUUGUUCUCAUCAGCAUAACAGUGUCAUUCAAAUGCAUAGGUGCUAAUUCAAUCAGCCUGACAGUAUCGCCCAUACCUUCAUAGAGACAAAGGCACAGCUGUGCCUUGAGUUUAACAAGCCAAAUGGUCAGGAAAAGCAUAAAGACAAAAGGUCAUUAGCAAGACACCUGGGUUUCCUGAUUUGAUCUUUUAGAAAUGUCAUCCUCUUUACCUCAAAAUGUAAUACACAAUGUACAUAACUUUUUUAGUUUAUCUACUAUUACAUUGGAACCUAGAUAUAAAAUAGUAUAAAUUUGUAAUCCCACAAUACACACAUUAACCUAGAUGCCAAUGCAAGGAAGGCAUGGAUAGAGAGAGAGAGAGAGAGAGAGAGCGCAAUGUAGAGAGAGAGAGCACACAAAAGAGUAAUAGCAGGAUUUACAUUUCACGAUUAGGAAUAAGGAAUAAAGAGCAGAUCAUUUUAAUACCAAGAUCGAAACAUCUAGAAGAUAUUAAACUAGAGAUACAUUCAUACACCUGAAUAUUAGCAUUUAGAGCUUAACUAAUACAAAUAAACAGUGGUAACUAGAUUAAUGUAAUAAGGUAACAUACAGACAACACAUGCAUAUACCAGAUGCAUUUGUAACUGAUUGAUUAUAGUCUAAAAUAAAGAAAAUGUCUUUGUGUGUGUGUGUGUGUGAUGUGUUUUGAAAUUGUGGCGAUAGACCACUGAUCUAGUCAGGCCAUUGGUGCCUGGCACAGGGGUCAUUUACUCCUCCUGGAAUGUGUUUGAAGUUCGAUGGGGAGACCAGAGAGUUGAUCUGUUCAGCAUCUUCCAGAUAAUGGGAGUAACCAUUGGCCAUUUAUAGCACCCAUAUAACUAGACUAUGGGGCCAGAUUCUGUAAUUUAUAUGCAAAUGUCAAAAGGCUAAAAGGAAUUUCUGAAACAUAAAGCCCAAACGAUCGUACAUGAUCCUAAGCAGAUGCUAGAGCAUACCAAUACAUGGCGCAAGUGUCAUGGUGAGGAGACAACAUUCAGUGUAUAUGCUGCUCAAGCAGAAACAGCUUAAUUAACAGUUAAUCAAAUGUGUAUGCCAUUCUCUGGACAUUGUAGCUCAAAAGGCAAUGAAUAAUGAACAACAACUCAGAGACUUAGAUCUAAAAUCCUCUAGUAUAUACCUCUCACCUAAAGAUGCUGUCCUGGGGACCACAUUCAGUCAGAAGUUGGAGGCAAGCACCCUGUCACCGGAG